GGCGGCAGCGGCGGCGGCGCGCGCUAAGCCGCGGGCGCCCGGCGGGUACCGGGAGCGCCUCCCCGGGCGGGCGGCGACCCCUGGCCAGCGACACCCGGUCAUCAUCCGCCUGCCGCCCCUCGCCCACCACCGACCGACCACCGACCCCCAGCGCCGUGCAGGGUGAAGCUGUGAGUUCCUGGGAAUGGCCCCUUGGAAGCCAAAGCAGGAAUUGGCCUUGGAAGGGAGGAGAAACUCCUGAGAGAGCUUCAGUGGGGCUGCCUGUGACCUCUCUCUGCUUCCCCUGGCCUGUUUUCCAAGAAAAUGGAAAUGUUUCCAAACAUCCUCGAGUGGCAGGGUGGUUUUAUUCCUUUUAAAUGACUUUUUAGAGCUUCAGACCCGAGCUGCUGUGGGUUUGGGCUCAGUUUGCUGACAAAGGCAGGGACAGCAGUCCAGGGGCACGUGGAGUUGGGGAUUGAUUGCUGAUUUUGGUUUCUUUGGCCAUCUUUCUUUGUCACACGUCACCUCUGCAGCCACCAGCAUCCUUGGGAGGGUGCACAGCAGCUCCAUGAGCUUUUCCCCCCAGAUUUGCACCAAAACCAGGAGAAGCAUCUGGGUAUCACCCCUUUGCAGCCUGAGCUGAUUUGUGCCCUGGCAAAGCCACAAAGAGAUAAAGCAGUGGAGAGCUGAGAGCUAAAUCUGUGCUCUACAAAUGCUGGGAGCACUGUAAUAGGAUUGCUGAGCUGGAGUUACAUGUUUUGCAGGGUGAUACAGGCUCUGGGGCCAUGCUGAAAUCAGGGACAGAACUGGGGAUUUGCAGCACUUGCUGGGAUGCUGCGUUUCCCUGUGAGCAGAAAAAGGGAAGAACAGAAAAAGGGAAGAAAAAGCUUUUGUAGAUAACACAGAACAGAUCCCUGGAAAGACUGGAGCUCCUGGGGCAGAAAACAUCACUGCUCUGACCUGAGGGGUGUUGGGUAUCACAGGUUUUCCUUACACUAAAUAAAAACACUUUGUAGAUCUUGUAGCUGAACUUC
This 1013-nucleotide long non-coding RNA is filed under the name Junco hyemalis (dark-eyed junco). RNAcentral's name for it is "lncRNA (ENSJHYG00000015812.1)". The record is from RNAcentral. Lineage: Eukaryota; Metazoa; Chordata; Aves; Passeriformes; Passerellidae.